Pygocentrus nattereri (red-bellied piranha) is the source of this 202-nucleotide long non-coding RNA. RefSeq lists it as uncharacterized. The record is from RefSeq and is a predicted model, not a curated record. NCBI's taxonomy places the organism in Eukaryota, Metazoa, Chordata, Actinopteri, Characiformes, Serrasalmidae. The transcript is spliced from 3 exons.
CUUAUAGGGCUCUGAUGGAAGUUUUACACUACAGGCUUCCUCCAAACAACAAGAACAAGCGUAGGUGAAAUCAAUUCAAGUACAAUCCUAGAUGAAUCUGAAUUCACCGGGUUUCCAUGUGGAAUAUCGUGUCCCUCCCUUUGGGCCAUCUGGCAUUUAAAUUCCUGGGAGUCUUGGCUGCUGCACAUCCUUUCAGACCCAC